CGCUUCUAUUUCUAUGUCAGAGCAUAUGGUCACAGAUAAAUAUCCUUUUCUUUCGUUCUCAAAAUAUCGACAUCCUUUGAUGGGAACGAAUCUUCCUACGAGAGAAUAGUGAUGCAGAUUUCAUCCAAAUAAAGAUAAUACAAAGUUCAUAAAUCAGACGGCGUGUUUUGACGUGGUACCUUCCUUGCCUUAGACUCACCAACCGUGCUCAUCCACAGAUUCCACACAGAUUAGAAGUAGGUGCCGUAAGUUGACUCGGUGCCAACCCGAUAUAUGAGUCUAAUAGCGGUAAAAGACUACAAAGUACCCAUCGCUCACAUAAGCUAUUCUUGUUCAACGCGGC
Molecule: long non-coding RNA, 343 nt
Filed under: Elaeis guineensis (African oil palm)
Lineage: Eukaryota; Viridiplantae; Streptophyta; Magnoliopsida; Arecales; Arecaceae
Description: long non-coding RNA (EGUI_LNC015740)
Source: RNAcentral